Long non-coding RNA from Gallus gallus (chicken), 678 nucleotides. The record is from Ensembl. NCBI's taxonomy places the organism in Eukaryota, Metazoa, Chordata, Aves, Galliformes, Phasianidae.
UGGGGUUGUUUCGCUCACAUUGGGGUUGGUACCCUCAAAAUGGGGUUGGUAAUCUCACACUGGGGUUGGUUCCCUCACUGGGGUCAGGUACCCCCAUUGGGGUGGGGACCCUCAUUGGGAUUGAACACUCCUAUAGGGGUGAGGAACCUCCAUUGGGUUGGGAACCACCAUUGGAAUUGGUACCUUCAUUGGGGUCGGGCACCCAUGUUGGGGUCAGGAAGCUCUACUGGGUCGGGACCCUCAUUGGGGUUGGUACUUUCGUUGGGUUUGGGCACCUCCAUCGGGGUUGGGAUCCUCAUUGGUGUUGGGCAUCUCCAUCAGGGUUAGGAUCCUCAUACAGGUUGGACACCUCUGUUGGGGUUUGGAACAUCUUUUGGGGUUGGGCACCUCUAUUGGGGUUGGGACCUUCAUUGGGGUCAGGCACCUCUGUUGGGGUUGGGAACAUCUAUUGGAGUAGGGAUCCUUAUUGAGGUUGGGACCUUCACUGGGGUUGGACACCUCAAUUAGGGUUGGGACCCUCAUUGGGGUUGGGCACCUCUAUUGGGAUUGGGCACCUCUAUUGGGAUUGGGACCCUCUUUGGUGUUGGGCACCUCUAUUGGGGUUGGGACCUUCAUUGAGGUUGGGACCCUCAUUGGGCUUGGGCACCUCUAUUGGGGUUGGGACCUUCAUUGAGGUUG